This 497-nucleotide ribosomal RNA is filed under the name uncultured bacterium. Its description in RNAcentral is "partial 16S ribosomal RNA". It matches the Rfam family "Bacterial small subunit ribosomal RNA", at positions 28 to 507 of the family's 1533-position model. The record is from RNAcentral.
GACGAACGCUGGCGGCGUGCCUAAUACAUGCAAGUUGAGCGCUGAAGGUUGGUACUUGUACCGACUGGAUGAGCAGCGAACGGGUGAGUAACGCGUGGGGAAUCUGCCUUUGAGCGGGGGACAACAUUUGGAAACGAAUGCUAAUACCGCAUAAAAACUUUAAACACAAGUUUUAAGUUUGAAAGAUGCAAUUGCAUCACUCAAAGAUGAUCCCGCGUUGUAUUAGCUAGUUGGUGAGGUAAAGGCUCACCAAGGCGAUGAUACAUAGCCGACCUGGGAGGGUGAUCGGCCACAUUGGGACUGAGACACGGCCCAAACUCCUACGGGAGGCAGCAGUAGGGAAUCUUCGGCAAUGGACGAAAGUCUGACCGAGCAACGCCGCGGGAGUGAAGAAGGUUUUCGGAUCGUAAAACUCUGUUGGUAGAGAAGAACGUUGGUGAGAGUGGAAAGCUCAUCAAGUGACGGUAACUACCCAGAAAGGGACGGCUAACUACGUG